CCUAGGGUGGGCAGCAGUGGGGAAUAUUGGACAAUGGGCGAAAGCCUGAUCCAGCCAUGCCGCGUGUGUGAAGAAGGCCUUCGGGUUGUAAAGCACUUUCAGUGGGGAAGAAAGCCUUGGGGCUAAUACCCUCGAGGAAGGACAUCACCCACAGAAGAAGCACCGGCUAACUCCGUGCCAGCAGCCGCGGUAAUACGGAGGGUGCGAGCGUUAAUCGGAAUUACUGGGCGUAGAGCGCGCGUAGGCGGUCUGAUAAGCCGGUUGUGAAAGCCCCGGGCUCAACCUGGGAACGGCAUCCGGAACUGUCAGGCUAGAGUGCAGGAGAGGAAGGUAGAAUUCCCGGUGUAGCGGUGAAAUGCGUAGAGAUCGGGAGGAAUACCAGUGGCGAAGGCGGCCUUCUGGACUGACACUGACGCUGAGGUGCGAAAGCGUGGGUAGCAAACAGGAUUAGAUACCCCGGUAGUC
RNAcentral lists this ribosomal RNA (465 nucleotides) under Vreelandella stevensii. RNAcentral's name for it is "partial 16S ribosomal RNA". It matches the Rfam family "Bacterial small subunit ribosomal RNA", at positions 338 to 795 of the family's 1533-position model. The record is from RNAcentral. Lineage: Bacteria; Pseudomonadati; Pseudomonadota; Gammaproteobacteria; Oceanospirillales; Halomonadaceae.